This 564-nucleotide ribosomal RNA is filed under the name uncultured bacterium. RNAcentral's name for it is "bacterial SSU rRNA". It matches the Rfam family "Bacterial small subunit ribosomal RNA", at positions 338 to 916 of the family's 1533-position model. The record is from RNAcentral.
CCUACGGGAGGCAGCAGUGGGGAAUCUUGCGCAAUGGGCGAAAGCCUGACGCAGCAACGCCGCGUGCGGGAUGAAGGCCUUCGGGUUGUAAACCGCUUUCAGCAGGGAAGAAAUUGACGGUACCUGCAGAAGAAGCCCCGGCCAACUACGUGCCAGCAGCCGCGGUAACACGUAGGGGGCGAGCGUUGUCCGGAUUUAUUGGGCGUAAAGAGCUCGUAGGCGGUUCGGUAAGUCGGGUGUGAAACCUCCAGGCUCAACCUGGAGACGCCACCUGAUACUGCUGUGACUAGAGUCCGGUAGGGGAGUGUGGAACUCCUGGUGUAGCGGUGAAAUGCGCAGAUAUCAGGAAGAACACCAGCGGCGAAGGCGGCACUCUGGGCCGGUACUGACGCUGAGGAGCGAAAGCGUGGGUAGCAAACAGGAUUAGAUACCCUGGUAGUCCACGCCGUAAACGUUGGGCACUAGGUGUGGGUCUCAACCAACGAGAUCCGUGCCGCAGCUAACGCAUUAAGUGCCCCGCCUGGGGAGUACGGCCGCGAAGGCUAAACUCAAAUGAAUUGACGG